CUGGCUCAGGAUGAACGCUGGCGGCGUGCCUAAUACAUGCAAGUCGAGCGAGAACUUGAUGAUGGAAGAUUCGUCUGAAAGAUUCAAGGGAAAGCGGCGGACGGGUGAGUAACGCGUAGGCAACCUGCCCUUAGCAGAGGGAUAGCCAUUGGAAACGAUGAUUAAAACCUCAUAACGCUUGAGAGACACAUGUCUUUCGAGCCAAAGAUUUAUCGGCUAAGGAUGGGCCUGCGUCUGGUUAACUGGUUGGUGAGGUAACGGCUCACCAAGGUGACGAUCAGUAGCCGACCUGAGAGGGUGAUCGGCCACAUUGGAACUGAGACACGGUCCAAACUUCUACGGAAGGCAGCAGUAAGGAAUCUUGCACAAUGGGGGGAAACCCUGAUGCAGCAACGCCGCGUGAACGAAGAAGGCCUUCGGGUUGUAAAGUUCUGAUCUUGGGGAAGAAGGAAGUGACGGUACCCAAGGAGAAAGCCCCGGCUAACUACGUGCCAGCCGCCGC
RNAcentral lists this ribosomal RNA (502 nucleotides) under uncultured bacterium. Its description in RNAcentral is "bacterial SSU rRNA". It matches the Rfam family "Bacterial small subunit ribosomal RNA", at positions 19 to 518 of the family's 1533-position model. The record is from RNAcentral.